RNAcentral lists this unclassified non-coding RNA (335 nucleotides) under soil metagenome. Its description in RNAcentral is "partial contains 5.8S ribosomal RNA, internal transcribed spacer 2, and large subunit ribosomal RNA". The stretch from base 1 to 120 matches the Rfam family "5.8S ribosomal RNA", at positions 35 to 154 of the family's 154-position model. The record is from RNAcentral.
GAUGAAGAACGUAGCGAAAUGCGAUAAGUAGUGUGAAUUGCAGAAUUCAGUGAAUCAUCGAAUCUUUGAACGCACAUUGCGCCCUAUGGUAUUCCGUAGGGCAUGCCUGUUCGAGCGUCAUUCAAACCUUCAAGCUCUGCUUGGUGUUGGGCGUCUGUCCUGCCUCACGGCGCGGACUCGCCUCAAAUCUAUUGGCGGCCGGCACGUUGGCUUCGAGCGCAGCAGAAACGCGAACUCGAGACCGGCGGAUCGGCUCCCAGAAGCUACCCCCAUGAAUUUGACCUCGGAUCAGGUAGGGAUACCCGCUGAACUUAAGCAUAUCAAUAAGCGGAGGA